GACGAACGCUGGCGGCGUGCUUAACACAUGCAAGUCGAGCGGAAAGGCCCCUUUGGGGGUACUCGAGCGGCGAACGGGUGAGUAACACGUGAGUAACCUGCCCCUGACUCUGGGAUAAGCCUGGGAAACUGGGUCUAAUACCGGAUGUGACUGCCGGCCGCAUGGUCUGGUGGUGGAAAGUUUUUUCGGUUGGGGAUGGGCUCGCGGCCUAUCAGCUUGUUGGUGGGGUAGUGGCCUACCAAGGCGA
Molecule: ribosomal RNA, 247 nt
Filed under: uncultured Actinomycetes bacterium
Lineage: Bacteria; Bacillati; Actinomycetota; Actinomycetes
Description: uncultured actinobacterium partial 16S ribosomal RNA
Rfam family: Bacterial small subunit ribosomal RNA
Source: RNAcentral